AAAGAUCUAAUAGACUUAGUCUAAUGUUUACAAAAAUAAUAAUUACAAAUAAUAUAAAGACUUCAUUACUGUCUAUAACUAACGCAUAGGAAUAAUUAAGUAUUAGUGAAGACAGAUUUAAAUAUAUCGGUAAGUCAUUGGCUAGCAUAUUAAUAAAAGAACUGACUACGGCUUAGUAUAAUGAUACUCGAGAGAUUCAUGAU
RNAcentral lists this long non-coding RNA (203 nucleotides) under Musa acuminata (dwarf banana). RNAcentral's name for it is "long non-coding RNA (MACU_LNC003252)". Lineage: Eukaryota; Viridiplantae; Streptophyta; Magnoliopsida; Zingiberales; Musaceae. The record is from RNAcentral.